AUUGAACGCUGGCGGAAUGCUUUACACAUGCAAGUCGAACGGUAGAGGGGGCACCCCCUUGAGAGUGGCGAACGGGUGAGUAAUAUAUCGGAACGUGCCCAGUCGUGGGGGAUAACGUAGCGAAAGUUACGCUAAUACCGCAUACGAUCUAAGGAUGAAAGCGGGGGAUCGCACGACCUCGCGCGACUGGAGCGGCCGAUAUCAGAUUAGGUAGUUGGUAGGGUAAAGGCCUACCAAGCCAACGAUCUGUAGCUGGUCUGAGAGGACGACCAGCCACACUGGAACUGAGACACGGUCCAGACUCCUACGGGAGGCAGCAGUGGGGAAUUUUGGACAAUGGGCGAAAGCCUGAUCCAGCCAUUCCGCGUGCAGGAUGAAGGCCCUCGGGUUGUAAACUGCUUUUGUACAGAACGAAAAGGUUUCUAUUAAUACUAGGAGCUCAUGACGGUACUGUAAGAAUAAGCACCGGCUAACUACGUG
This 480-nucleotide ribosomal RNA is filed under the name uncultured bacterium. Its description in RNAcentral is "partial 16S ribosomal RNA". It matches the Rfam family "Bacterial small subunit ribosomal RNA", at positions 30 to 507 of the family's 1533-position model. The record is from RNAcentral.